CUUGGUCAUUUAGAGNAAGUAAAAGUCGUANCAAGGUCUCCGUUGGUGAACCAGCGGAGGGAUCAUUACCGAGUUUACAACUCCCAAACCCCUGUGAACAUACCUUAUGUUGCCUCGGCGGAUCAGCCCGCGCCCCGUAAAAAGGGACGGCCCGCCGCAGGAACCCUAAACUCUGUUUUUAGUGGAACUUCUGAGUAUAAAAAACAAAUAAAUCAAAACUUUCAACAACGGAUCUCUUGGUUCUGGCAUCGAUGAAGAACGCAGCAAAAUGCGAUAAGUAAUGUGAAUUGCAGAAUUCAGUGAAUCAUCGAAUCUUUGAACGCACAUUGCGCCCGCCAGUAUUCUGGCGGGCAUGCCUGUUCGAGCGUCAUUUCAACCCUCAAGCCCAGCUUGGUGUUGGGAGCUGCAGUCCUGCUGCACUCCCCAAAUACAUUGGCGGUCACGUCGAGCUUCCAUAGCGUAGUAAUUUACACAUCGUUACUGGUAAUCGUCGCGGCCACGCCGUUAAACCCCAACUUCUGAAUGUUGACCUCGGAUCAGGUAGGAAUANNCGC
RNAcentral lists this ribosomal RNA (554 nucleotides) under Fusarium sp. JJP-2009a. RNAcentral describes it as "eukaryotic LSU rRNA". The stretch from base 217 to 370 matches the Rfam family "5.8S ribosomal RNA". The record is from RNAcentral. Lineage: Eukaryota; Fungi; Ascomycota; Sordariomycetes; Hypocreales; Nectriaceae.